GGGCCCGUAGCUCAGCGGUUAGAGCAGCGGACUCAUAAUCCGUAGGUCCUAGGUUCGAAUCCUAGCGGGCCCA
This 73-nucleotide transfer RNA is filed under the name Solirubrobacterales bacterium. RNAcentral describes it as "tRNA-Ile". It matches the Rfam family "tRNA". Rfam says of the family: Transfer RNA (tRNA) molecules are approximately 80 nucleotides in length. Their secondary structure includes four short double-helical elements and three loops (D, anti-codon, and T loops). Further hydrogen bonds mediate the characteristic L-shaped molecular structure. tRNAs have two regions of fundamental functional importance: the anti-codon, which is responsible for specific mRNA codon recognition, and the 3' end, to which the tRNAs corresponding amino acid is attached (by aminoacyl-tRNA synthetases). tRNAs cope with the degeneracy of the genetic code in two manners: having more than one tRNA (with a specific anti-codon) for a particular amino acid; and 'wobble' base-pairing, i.e. permitting non-standard base-pairing at the 3rd anti-codon position. The record is from RNAcentral. Lineage: Bacteria; Bacillati; Actinomycetota; Thermoleophilia; Solirubrobacterales.